This 492-nucleotide ribosomal RNA is filed under the name uncultured bacterium. RNAcentral's name for it is "partial 16S ribosomal RNA". It matches the Rfam family "Bacterial small subunit ribosomal RNA", at positions 28 to 507 of the family's 1533-position model. The record is from RNAcentral.
GAUGAACGCUGGCGGUGGGCCUAACACAUGCAAGUCGAACGGCAGCACAGUACGAGCUUGCUCUUACGGAUGGCGAGUGGCGGACGGGUGAGGAAUAUAUCGUAAUCUACUUUUUCGUGGGGGAUCACGUAGGGAAGCUUACUAUCAUACCGCAUCCGCCCUACCGGUGAAAGCAGGGGAUCUUCUCACCUUGCGGGAUUGAAUUAGCCGCUGUCGGGUUUGCUAGUUGGCGGGUUACAUGCCCACCAAGGCGACGAUCCGUAGCUGGCCUGAGUGGAUGAUCAGCCACACUGGAACUGAGACACGGUCCAGACUCCUACGAUACGCAGCAGUCGGGAAUAUUGGACAAUGGUCGGAAGCCUGAUCCAGCCAUACCGCGUCUGUGAAGAAGACCUUCGGGUUGUAAAGACCUCUUGUUGGGAAAGAACAGCAGCAGGUUAAUACGAAGCUGUUCUGACGGUACCGAAAGAAUAAGCACCGGCUAACUACGUG